Molecule: long non-coding RNA, 1162 nt
Filed under: Takifugu rubripes (torafugu)
Lineage: Eukaryota; Metazoa; Chordata; Actinopteri; Tetraodontiformes; Tetraodontidae
Description: lncRNA (ENSTRUG00000030018.1)
Source: RNAcentral
CUCUUCAUGUGCAGCCCUACAUACAGCUGUGAAACAGACCUCUAUUUAACCAGAUAGAAAUCAUUUGAGAGGAAGGAAAACAAUGGAAAAGAUUUUUUUUGUGAUUUUUUCAUAAAUCAUAAAAUAACAAAAUAUAAUAAUGUGGAUGCACAGAUAUUUGCAAAAAGAUAAAUAAGCAACCUAGAAAAUGGUAUAAAGAAAAAUGAGUUCAACGUCUUUAUAUUCCACCGAGGUCUGCAAUAGUUUCUGCUUCAGAAUUAUAAUCAAAUGGUAGCAAUGUUAGCAAUAGCCCUAACCUUACCAUGUAUUGUGAGUGUAAACAUAUGAUCCAACAGGGUGUAGCUUACAUUUUAUUUUUCUCUAAGUGUUCCCUCAAUCAAUGAAAAGGAUCAACAAUGAUGCAACCUAAAACCACUCUGGUAGGUUUAUUUUCCUUACUUAUCCUCCCUUACCACUCCUCCUCUUCCUCCUCCUUUUCCUUAAAUUAGACUCAUCUCCACCUUUAAAUUCACUAAACUUUUGUCUGUCAGGGACACUUUGCACAGUUUUCCUUUCCAAUUUUGUAUUUUUAAUUUUUCAUGAUGUCCUGCACAAUUACUAAUUUCUUUAUCCUCCUUUUUGUCACAGCUCAUGUCAUCACUGCAGCUGAAGAACUUGAUGGUUCAGCUAUCGACACCUGUAUGAUUUUUCCUGUUCCUGAUUUGACCACUGUCACCAAUACUAAGGAUGCAAUAAUCACGCCUGUCACAACAAUGCAGGUGGUGACCACCACAACCUCAAACCUAGAACGCAUUAAACAACCACCACUUGUAACAAGACCAAUCACAAAUCAUCAGUCUGAUCUUCUCCGCAUUCUGUUGGAAAACAUCAGACAUCAUGUCAAUUCUCAACCCAGACUCACAGGUUUCAUCUCUCACCAGCAUAAAAAAACCUCAGAUAGCUCUGAGUCAGCUGCACAGCAAGGCUCACUUUCUUCAGAUUCAAGCGAUGAGUCUUAGUAUCAAAACUCUUAAGAAUUUGGAAUGUUUUUGUAUUUGUAGUAUUGAUGUCAAAGAUGUAAUUAAUGUACCUGUAACAAGUAUCGACAAUAUGUUUUGCAGUAAAACUAUUCUGUUGCCCUUGGAUUUUUUUAUUUUUUUAUUUAAGGUUUAUGAGUGGGAAC